RNAcentral lists this long non-coding RNA (1401 nucleotides) under Takifugu rubripes (torafugu). RNAcentral describes it as "lncRNA (ENSTRUG00000032421.1)". The record is from RNAcentral. Lineage: Eukaryota; Metazoa; Chordata; Actinopteri; Tetraodontiformes; Tetraodontidae.
CAGGUUCUCAGUUACCCAACUGAUUCUCUGGGACUUUUUUUCCUAGAUCCUUUCACACACAGUCAUGUGUCAUGAGGAAGGAGGACUUUGCUCCACUCAUGCACAGGUCUUGUGAUGUGCGCAGGUAUCUCCUCGUCACAGGAACAGACGCUUGGCCGACAUUCAUCAGGUAAAGACUCUGCUGCAGAUUGCCUCACAGUAGUGCCUCCAUUUCUGUCAACGUCUCCACUAAACUGAUCGUCAGCUCCAUUUUUUUCUUCUUGGCUUCAUCAUAAAUAGAGAUUGUUUUAAAAUUACUUAACAUGUUCCUGCAGACUAAAUCUUCUAAACCUUAAAGACGUCCAUUGAUUAUCUUUUAUGCAUAUUAGGUAAUAUUAUUGGAAAGCCGGACUGCUACAACACGACUGUCAUGGAACUGAAGAGCGACCUGUGGCACACCCAGACGCCGAGCGCUUCCUCUUUACGUGACCAGCCUACCUUGUUCCUUCGGGACAGAUCCACAUCUGUGUCCCAGCUGGUUUCCAGGUGACCGAAUCCUAACAGCUCAGUGACCUCGGUUCUUGUGUUUGUAGACAUGUGAUAUGAUCUUUGUGAGCAGGUAUCAGAUGACAACGGAGAACCAUAGUCAGGAAAAUGCAGAAAUCAAAGCAGAAGCAAUAGCAAAACAGGUAUUUAUGUGACAUUUCUUAGCUCCUGGUGUUAGAGCGCUACAGAAAGCUCAUGUUUCUCCUCCAGAUGUCAUCGCUGGUGACUACAAAGCCUCACGUAGAAGCGUUGGACAGAGGAAAUGACAACAAGGACCAGUCUCACUCCAAGACAGGAUUGACACGCAGCAAGUCCAUGGGCAGCCUUCAAAUCAAGGUGGUCUCCUUCCAGAGCUUGAAGGCCCGUUUUGAGUCAAAGGAGGACACACAGAAGAAGGUGACCAGCAAACAGUCAACCAGCAGGUCUGUGGAAGCCACACAGGAGAAGACAGCGGAGGCCAAACAGACAAAUGAUCCUCCUCUGGAAACUGAAAAACGUCCCCCAAAAUCUUUGAAGAUGAAAGGAGACAAGUGGGAGUCCCCACAAAUCAAGACGAGUUUGGUCCGUAGCAAGUCGACAGGGAGCCUUCGGAGCAGCUCUGGGUCCAUCGAGGCCCUCAGGGCUCGCUUUGAGUCCAAAGUGGACGCACAGAACAUGGCCCGAGGGGUCAAAAACAGCCCAGCCUCCAUCAAGCCAGCAGAAGUCCUGCAGGUGACAGACAGAGAGGCUGAAGGAAAGAGCCUGAAAGAAAAACCAAGGAGCCAAACUGCUGAUGUCCCACAGAAGGAGGGAAAAGAUGCUCCAUCAUCUCAGAAGGUAAAUCAGGACCAACUAUGUGUCAAAAUAGCUGACAAAUUUCAAUCAAAGGUUAUAUAA